Molecule: ribosomal RNA, 253 nt
Filed under: uncultured bacterium
Lineage: Bacteria
Description: partial 16S ribosomal RNA
Rfam family: Bacterial small subunit ribosomal RNA
Source: RNAcentral
UACAGAGGGUGCAAGCGUUAAUCGGAAUUACUGGGCGUAAAGGGUGCGUAGGCGGCUCGGUAAGUCGGGUGUGAAAUCUCGGAGCUUAACUCCGAAACUGCAUUCGAUACUGCCGUGCUUGAGGACUGGAGAGGAGACUGGAAUUUACGGUGUAGCGGUGAAAUGCGUAGAUAUCGUAAGGAAGACCAGUGGCGAAGGCGGGUCUCUGGACAGUUCCUGACGCUGAGGCACGAAGGUCAGGGGAGCAAACGGG